Molecule: non-coding RNA, 295 nt
Organism: Meleagris gallopavo (turkey)
Lineage: Eukaryota; Metazoa; Chordata; Aves; Galliformes; Phasianidae
Source: RefSeq, a predicted model, not a curated record
CUCAGUCUGAUUUCUCUCUCCUCUCCCCGGCCGAAUUUCGGCGCCCCGUUACACGUCCUCCAGGGGGAGGUUGGAGCCGACGGGCAGCCGGCGGCUGUGGGCUGUGCGGGGCUCUCGUGGCGGUGAUGCUGCAGUAACGUGUCCUCCGUGCUCCCUUCGCUGAGAUGUGCCGUGUGUGUCUGUGGCCGUGCUGAGGCUGCACGAAAGAUAUCGCGAUGGCACCGAGUCCUCUGAGAUGCGCUACGGAAAUGAUGAGAACGACUUCUGAGGCUGUGAGCGGUGGCUGAUGAGAGAA